This 478-nucleotide ribosomal RNA is filed under the name uncultured bacterium. RNAcentral's name for it is "partial 16S ribosomal RNA". It matches the Rfam family "Bacterial small subunit ribosomal RNA", at positions 28 to 506 of the family's 1533-position model. The record is from RNAcentral.
GAUGAACGCUAGCGGGAGGCCCAACACAUGCAAGCCGAGCGGUAUUGUUUCUUCGGACAUGAGAGAGCGGCGUACGGGUGCGUAACACGUGUGCAACCUGCCUUUAUCUGGGGGAUAGCCUUUCGAAAGGAAGAUUAAUACUCCAUAAUAUAUUGAACGGCAUCGUUUAAUAUUGAAAGCUCCGGCGGAUAGAGAUGGGCACGCGCAAGAUUAGCUAGUUGGUGAGGUAACGGCUCACCAAGGCGAUGAUCUUUAGGGGGCCUGAGAGGGUGAUCCCCCACACUGGUACUGGGACACGGACCAGACUCCAACGGGGGGCAGCAGUGAGGAAUAUUGGUCAAUGGGUGAAAGCCUGAACCAGCCACCCCGGGGGAAGGACCACUGCCCAUGGGGUUUUAAACUUCUUUUGAAAAGGAAUAAACCUACCCACGAGAGGGUAGCUAAAGUUACUAAACAAAUAAGCACCGGUUAACUCCGU